CAGCAGCCGCGGUAAUACAGAGGAUGCAAGCGUUAUCCGGAAUGAUUGGGCGUAAAGUGUCUGUAAGUGGCUCUUCAAGUCUGUCGUCAAAUCCCAGGGCUCAACACUAGACAGGCGGUGGAAACUACCAAGCUUGAGUACAGUAGGGGCAGAGGGAAUUUCCAGUGGAGCGGUGAAAUGCGUUGAGAUCGGAAAGAACACCAAUGACAAAAGCACUCUGUUGGGCUGACACUGACACUGAGAGACGAAAGCUAGGGGAGCAAAUGGGAUUAGAUACCCCCGUAGUCCCUGUCUCUUAUAC
This 301-nucleotide ribosomal RNA is filed under the name uncultured bacterium. RNAcentral describes it as "partial 16S ribosomal RNA". It matches the Rfam family "Bacterial small subunit ribosomal RNA", at positions 509 to 807 of the family's 1533-position model. The record is from RNAcentral.